Molecule: long non-coding RNA, 1485 nt
Filed under: Equus asinus (donkey)
Lineage: Eukaryota; Metazoa; Chordata; Mammalia; Perissodactyla; Equidae
Description: lncRNA (ENSEASG00005028251.1)
Source: RNAcentral
GGCGCAGAUUGGUCCGGGAGGCUCGCUUCCCAUCCUCCUCCGCGGCGCGGACUCGCGGUGGGGAGCGUUUCCGGAAGGGGCGAGGCGGGGCGCCGCGCCGCAGGCCGGUGUGACUGCGGGUCUGAGUUGUGCCUGUGGCUGCGGCUGCGCGCUGCGCCUGGGUACAGUCUAAGUGUUGGAGGAUAGUCAGGGUGGAGGAUGGCGACUCUACAUCUCUUGAAACUCCUAUCAGUGGAGAAGGCCAAGACAAAUCUGCAUAACAGCUUUACCAUUGUUUACUGUAGUGUUCCCAGUAACCUCCCAUAACUGAUCCCAUUUUAACAACAGAUUUAUUUUUCUUCUGCUGAGGAAGAUUGUCCAUGAGCUAACAUCUGCGCCAGUCUUCCUCUGUUUUGUACGUGGGAUGCAGCCACAGCGUGACUUGAGAGCAGUGCUAGGUCAUACCCAGGAUCCCAAUGCGUGAACCCCCGGGAGCUGAAGCAGAGCGCCUGACCUUAACCACUAUGGGACUGGGUGGCCCCGAUGAACAACAAAAUGUUAAAGCUAUUUUUCAGGGGCAGCGAGCAUGCGCAGAAGAGAAAAUUUUGACCUGCCAAUCAAACUCAUCCUGCCCCUCCUUGCAUACCAGCAGGCCCUCCCUAAUCCCUUAAACUCUACCCCAGCCUGGGAGAGAGAGAGACAUUUGAGAGCUUGGCCUCCUGUCUCCUUGCUGGUCCACCAUGUUUAAAGCCUUUUGUUUCUCAAAAGCAGGUGUGCCACUGUGUCAGCUUCUGUGCCCAUCAGGUGGCGAAGCCUUGCUUAGUAACAGUUUUAAGGGUUGGAACUUCAACCUGGGGAUCAUUGGGAACAUUUGAAGAUUUUGUUUUUAAAGGAGGUUCUAGUAGCAGUGUAAAAAUUGACCUGGAGAGGCAAGACUGGUGGCCAGGAGGCCCAUUAGGAGGCUGCUAUAAUCUAGCCUCAUCAGAGCUCAAGACCUGGCUCCAACUUCGUUGUGAUCGGGAGCAGGUUUACUUUAACCAGAAAGCGUGGCAGACUCUCAGGGUUGAUGUAAAAACAGCCCAGCCUGAUCAGAGAAAGCGGUUUGGGGUCAUUUCCCUGCAGAUGUGACUUUGAAAAACACCGGAAGUGCUGGGCUUCCUCCCUGGCACCCACUCUGCGUCUCCGGUGUGGGGCUGAGCACAGGAGGGCUGACUCCUCAGUCCACGACACCUGACUCUCCGCCACUGUGAUGGGCUUGGCCCUGUUGCUUGCUGAGGACAAGAGAACGUGGGCAAAGGUGGCAUAGUGCAAAUUCCAAGUCUAGACCUCUGGAGGCAUCGUGUAUUUCUGUUCACCCCUCUGGAAGUUUCCACCUUCCACCACAUUAGAAGAGCAUGGCCUAGGGAGCCGCAGCCCCUCCAGCCUGGCCCCACAAAGAGGCCCAGGGAGCAGAGCCCUCCCAGCUGACCUGCAGACCUGUGAGCAUAAGCACAAAUGCAUAUGGCU